AAUUCCGCCUAGGGACGUCAUGGCGGGACCCACCGGUGACGUAGGCCCCCCUCCCCUCCUCUCCUUCCCCUCGCCUCUGGCGCGUUUAAUGCAAUCGGAGCUGGACCACCACCGUCCGUGGAGGUGGAGCCCGCUUCCUGACACCUCCCCCCCUCCUCCCCCUUCCUUUCGCUCGUUCUUCUCCCCCACCGAUACGCCAUAUCCAUCCGUGCCGUGAGGUGGCUCGCUCCCCUCCCUGAGUUGUUGUUACUGCUCCACGACGGCUCGCGCGCAUCGGCCACAGCCACAGCCACAGCCACCACCGAGCUCGCGAAAGAUCCCCGCGCGCUGCUGGGGCCUGGGGGGUGGGUUUGUCCUUACAUGGCCAGGCCGGGGGGUAGGAGCGGAAGCCCUCGCUCUCCCUCUCCUCCGGAUUGCCGCCGUUGCGUUGCUGCUGCUCACUUGUUGGAGCGCUGCUGCUCGAGGGAGGCGGAUCGUUGGUGGUAGAGGAGG
RNAcentral lists this long non-coding RNA (492 nucleotides) under Oryza brachyantha (malo sina). Its description in RNAcentral is "long non-coding RNA (OBRA_LNC000261)". The record is from RNAcentral. Lineage: Eukaryota; Viridiplantae; Streptophyta; Magnoliopsida; Poales; Poaceae.